This is a long non-coding RNA of Pygocentrus nattereri (red-bellied piranha), 826 nucleotides long. RefSeq lists it as uncharacterized. The record is from RefSeq and is a predicted model, not a curated record. Lineage: Eukaryota; Metazoa; Chordata; Actinopteri; Characiformes; Serrasalmidae. The transcript is spliced from 4 exons.
CGUGCCUUUAUAUUCUACCGGCCCGAUUGUUUGGCGUGGUGCAUGUUAGCUGUCUGAGCUCGGUGGUGCAUCGCAAUUUCACUGUAUCAAGAGCUGUGCCUGAGAGUCUUCGAAGAAGUAGUUGUAUGCGGGCUUGAUGUGAUAUGCUGCGUAUUGAUGACCGUCUGGCGUGGUGUGCGUUAGCUGUGUGAGCCUGGUGGUGUGUCGUGGUACACAGAAACUCCCAGUAGAGGAAUACGAGUAGUACCACUUGCUGAAAACAGACCAGUCCCAGUGAGCAAGUGCUUGAAGGUUACCUCAUCGGCACCAGUCGCUGUUUUGUUAUAUUGUUUUUUUAUUUCUUGUUUUUUUUGUUUGUGCUUUGUUUGUAAUAACUUAUUGUUAUUGUUUUAGUUCUUCCUGUUCUGUCUUUGAGACGGGCAAUUGAGUGACAUGCCUGGUUUUGUCACUGUAUCACGAGCCCUGAAUAAUUUGCUGUGCAAGUGAGAUUGGAAGCCGGUGGAAGAGUAUAUUUUUUUAACUAGUGUGAAUUUUAUUCUGUGAUAUUGUUAACUUUAGUAACAUUGUUGUUUUCUCCAAAGGUGCUGUUGGUGGGAUGCUGUCCAGUGUGGGGUUGUGAUAUUUUGCAGUGGUUGUGUGUUGGUAUUUGACUUCACCAGAGUGCGGUGGUUUUAUUGCACAGAAGGUAGUUUGAUGUGAACCAUUUGUCCAUUUUAUAGUGUUAAACCUUCCACUGGAGUUGCGUGACCACCACAGUGGCCUGGAGACUCUUCACUUUUUUUUUUUUUCUAUUGUCUUAAAUAAACUUUUGUGUUAUUGCCCUCUA